Long non-coding RNA from Mastomys coucha (southern multimammate mouse), 230 nucleotides. RefSeq lists it as uncharacterized. The transcript is spliced from 3 exons. NCBI's taxonomy places the organism in Eukaryota, Metazoa, Chordata, Mammalia, Rodentia, Muridae. The record is from RefSeq and is a predicted model, not a curated record.
GGGGGACAGGGAAUUGAGGAUGGACACAGGAGUUCAAGGGACUUGGUGGCUAACCAGUCGAGACAGAUAGGGAAGCUCCAGGUCGCGUUUGGUCAUUGCAUUGUCACAGCAACAGGAUGAGACUAGAACAGACAGCCGCUAAACAAAGACUGACUCUCAAUUGCUGCAUGGACAUUUGUAAACAGCCAAUCACAAAAAUAAAGCUAAGAGGCAAUGGUGUUGAGUGACCC